AGGGUGACAGCCCCGUACACAAAAAUGCACAUGCUGUGAGCUCGAUGAGUAGGGCGGGACACGUGGUAUCCUGUCUGAAUAUGGGGGGACCAUCCUCCAAGGCUAAAUACUCCUGACUGACCGAUAGUGAACCAGUACCGUGAGGGAAAGGCGAAAAGAACCCCGGCGAGGGGAGUGAAAAAGAACCUGAAACCGUGUACGUACAAGCAGUGGGAGCACGCUUAGGCGUGUGACUGCGUACCUUUUGUAUAAUGGGUCAGCGACUUAUAUUCUGUAGCAAGGUUAACCGAAUAGGGGAGCCGAAGGGAAACCGAGUCUUAACUGGGCGUUAAGUUGCAGGGUAUAGACCCGAAACCCGGUGAUCUAGCCAUGGGCAGGUUGAAGGUUGGGUAACACUAACUGGAGGACCGAACCGACUAAUGUUGAAAAAUUAGCGGAUGACUUGUGGCUGGGGGUGAAAGGCCAAUCAAACCGGGAGAUAGCUGGUUCUCCCCGAAAGCUAUUUAGGUAGCGCCUCGUGAAUUCAUCUCCGGGGGUAGAGCACUGUUUCGGCAAGGGGGUCAUCCCGACUUACCAACCCGAUGCAAACUGCGAAUACCGGAGAAUGUUAUCACGGGAGACACACGGCGGGUGCUAACGUCCGUCGUGAAGAGGGAAACAACCCAGACCGCCAGCUAAGGUCCCAAAGUCAUGGUUAAGUGGGAAACGAUGUGGGAAGGCCCAGACAGCCAGGAUGUUGGCUUAGAAGCAGCCAUCAUUUAAAGAAAGCGUAAUAGCUCACUGGUCGAGUCGGCCUGCGCGGAAGAUGUAACGGGGCUAAACCAUGCACCGAAGCUGCGGCAGCGACGCUGAUGCGUUGUUGGGUAGGGGAGCGUUCUGUAAGCCUGCGAAGGUGUGCUGUGAGGCAUGCUGGAGGUAUCAGAAGUGCGAAUGCUGACAUAAGUAACGAUAAAGCGGGUGAAAAGCCCGCUCGCCGGAAGACCAAGGGUUCCUGUCCAACGUUAAUCGGGGCAGGGUGAGUCGACCCCUAAGGCGAGGCCGAAAGGCGUAGUCGAUGGGAAACAGGUUAAUAUUCCUGUACUUGGUGUUACUGCGAAGGGGGGACGGAGAAGGCUAUGUUGGCCGGGCGACGGUUGUCCCGGUUUAAGCGUGUAGGCUGGUUUUCCAGGCAAAUCCGGAAAAUCAAGGCUGAGGCGUGAUGACGAGGCACUACGGUGCUGAAGCAACAAAUGCCCUGCUUCCAGGAAAAGCCUCUAAGCAUCAGGUAACAUCAAAUCGUACCCCAAACCGACACAGGUGGUCAGGUAGAGAAUACCAAGGCGCUUGAGAGAACUCGGGUGAAGGAACUAGGCAAAAUGGUGCCGUAACUUCGGGAGAAGGCACGCUGAUAUGUAGGUGAAGUCCCUCGCGGAUGGAGCUGAAAUCAGUCGAAGAUACCAGCUGGCUGCAACUGUUUAUUAAAAACACAGCACUGUGCAAACACGAAAGUGGACGUAUACGGUGUGACGCCUGCCCGGUGCCGGAAGGUUAAUUGAUGGGGUUAGCCGCAAGGCGAAGCUCUUGAUCGAAGCCCCGGUAAACGGCGGCCGUAACUAUAACGGUCCUAAGGUAGCGAAAUUCCUUGUCGGGUAAGUUCCGACCUGCACGAAUGGCGUAAUGAUGGCCAGGCUGUCUCCACCCGAGACUCAGUGAAAUUGAACUCGCUGUGAAGAUGCAGUGUACCCGCGGCAAGACGGAAAGACCCCGUGAACCUUUACUAUAGCUUGACACUGAACAUUGAGCCUUGAUGUGUAGGAUAGGUGGGAGGCUUUGAAGUGUGGACGCCAGUCUGCAUGGAGCCGACCUUGAAAUACCACCCUUUAAUGUUUGAUGUUCUAACGUUGACCCGUAAUCCGGGUUGCGGACAGUGUCUGGUGGGUAGUUUGACUGGGGCGGUCUCCUCCUAAAGAGUAACGGAGGAGCACGAAGGUUGGCUAAUCCUGGUCGGACAUCAGGAGGUUAGUGCAAUGGCAUAAGCCAGCUUGACUGCGAGCGUGACGGCGCGAGCAGGUGCGAAAGCAGGUCAUAGUGAUCCGGUGGUUCUGAAUGGAAGGGCCAUCGCUCAACGGAUAAAAGGUACUCCGGGGAUAACAGGCUGAUACCGCCCAAGAGUUCAUAUCGACGGCGGUGUUUGGCACCUCGAUGUCGGCUCAUCACAUCCUGGGGCUGAAGUAGGUCCCAAGGGUAUGGCUGUUCGCCAUUUAAAGUGGUACGCGAGCUGGGUUUAGAACGUCGUGAGACAGUUCGGUCCCUAUCUGCCGUGGGCGCUGGAGAACUGAGGGGGGCUGCUCCUAGUACGAGAGGACCGGAGUGGACGCAUCACUGGUGUUCGGGUUGUCAUGCCAAUGGCACUGCCCGGUAGCUAAAUGCGGAAGAGAUAAGUGCUGAAAGCAUCUAAGCACGAAACUUGCCCCGAGAUGAGUUCUCCCUGACUCCUUGAGAGUCCUGAAGGAACGUUGAAGACGACGACGUUGAUAGGCCGGGUGUGUAAGCGCAGCGAUGCGUUGAGCUAACCGGUACUAAUGAACCGUGAGGCUUAACCUUACAACGCCGAAGCUGUU
This 2600-nucleotide ribosomal RNA is filed under the name Escherichia coli. RNAcentral's name for it is "bacterial LSU rRNA". It matches the Rfam family "Bacterial large subunit ribosomal RNA", at positions 361 to 2925 of the family's 2925-position model. The record is from RNAcentral. Lineage: Bacteria; Pseudomonadati; Pseudomonadota; Gammaproteobacteria; Enterobacterales; Enterobacteriaceae.